This 1469-nucleotide ribosomal RNA is filed under the name Streptococcus thermophilus. RNAcentral describes it as "bacterial SSU rRNA". It matches the Rfam family "Bacterial small subunit ribosomal RNA". Lineage: Bacteria; Bacillati; Bacillota; Bacilli; Lactobacillales; Streptococcaceae. RNAcentral also lists the same sequence under 1 other name. The record is from RNAcentral.
AACGCUGGCGGCGUGCCUAAUACAUGCAAGUAGAACGCUGAAGAGAGGAGCUUGCUCUUCUUGGAUGAGUUGCGAACGGGUGAGUAACGCGUAGGUAACCUGCCUUGUAGCGGGGGAUAACUAUUGGAAACGAUAGCUAAUACCGCAUAACAAUGGAUGACACAUGUCAUUUAUUUGAAAGGGGCAAUUGCUCCACUACAAGAUGGACCUGCGUUGUAUUAGCUAGUAGGUGAGGUAAUGGCUCACCUAGGCGACGAUACAUAGCCGACCUGAGAGGGUGAUCGGCCACACUGGGACUGAGACACGGCCCAGACUCCUACGGGAGGCAGCAGUAGGGAAUCUUCGGCAAUGGGGGCAACCCUGACCGAGCAACGCCGCGUGAGUGAAGAAGGUUUUCGGAUCGUAAAGCUCUGUUGUAAGUCAAGAACGGGUGUGAGAGUGGAAAGUUCACACUGUGACGGUAGCUUACCAGAAAGGGACGGCUAACUACGUGCCAGCAGCCGCGGUAAUACGUAGGUCCCGAGCGUUGUCCGGAUUUAUUGGGCGUAAAGCGAGCGCAGGCGGUUUGAUAAGUCUGAAGUUAAAGGCUGUGGCUCAACCAUAGUUCGCUUUGGAAACUGUCAAACUUGAGUGCAGAAGGGGAGAGUGGAAUUCCAUGUGUAGCGGUGAAAUGCGUAGAUAUAUGGAGGAACACCGGUGGCGAAAGCGGCUCUCUGGUCUGUAACUGACGCUGAGGCUCGAAAGCGUGGGGAGCGAACAGGAUUAGAUACCCUGGUAGUCCACGCCGUAAACGAUGAGUGCUAGGUGUUGGAUCCUUUCCGGGAUUCAGUGCCGCAGCUAACGCAUUAAGCACUCCGCCUGGGGAGUACGACCGCAAGGUUGAAACUCAAAGGAAUUGACGGGGGCCCGCACAAGCGGUGGAGCAUGUGGUUUAAUUCGAAGCAACGCGAAGAACCUUACCAGGUCUUGACAUCCCGAUGCUAUUUCUAGAGAUAGAAAGUUACUUCGGUACAUCGGUGACAGGUGGUGCAUGGUUGUCGUCAGCUCGUGUCGUGAGAUGUUGGGUUAAGUCCCGCAACGAGCGCAACCCCUAUUGUUAGUUGCCAUCAUUCAGUUGGGCACUCUAGCGAGACUGCCGGUAAUAAACCGGAGGAAGGUGGGGAUGACGUCAAAUCAUCAUGCCCCUUAUGACCUGGGCUACACACGUGCUACAAUGGUUGGUACAACGAGUUGCGAGUCGGUGACGGCGAGCUAAUCUCUUAAAGCCAAUCUCAGUUCGGAUUGUAGGCUGCAACUCGCCUACAUGAAGUCGGAAUCGCUAGUAAUCGCGGAUCAGCACGCCGCGGUGAAUACGUUCCCGGGCCUUGUACACACCGCCCGUCACACCACGAGAGUUUGUAACACCCGAAGUCGGUGAGGUAACCUUUUGGAGCCAGCCGCCUAAGGUGGGACAGAUGAUUGGGGUGAAG